Long non-coding RNA from Xiphophorus maculatus (southern platyfish), 833 nucleotides. RefSeq lists it as uncharacterized. The record is from RefSeq and is a predicted model, not a curated record. NCBI's taxonomy places the organism in Eukaryota, Metazoa, Chordata, Actinopteri, Cyprinodontiformes, Poeciliidae. The transcript has 6 exons.
GAAGGAGCAGAAGAAGAAGGAAUGAAUGACUGUUACAUAACACCUCAUCUUUUGAGACAGAUUCCGAUGGAGAAGUGGAAUAAAGAGCAACAGUGGAAACGGGUCAACCAAUGACAGUCAGACUCACACUCCCCCAACCGCCUCACCCCCCCUCCCACCUGACAGACGCCAAACACUCUCUCAUCGCUAUAAAACCUCCUCACCUCCAUCACUGUCAGGGACAUGAAGAUCCUGAAGUGUUUGUGUUCAUCUGACUGGCUGAGGUGGAUGCAGACACUCUGAGGGUACUCAGAGCAGGUGGAGUGUGUCGUUUUCCAGAAGAGUGAUGUGUGUGUGGGCAGGAACUACAGUGACUUUACUCCUCAGGUCUCACUGAGAGGCGCCUUAUGUGGUUCCGUGUUUCUGGGAGUUUGCUCACCACACCAACCAGAUCAGCCCGUCGUACCGCGGGCGCACACUCUACACCGGGGGAAGCUACUCCAGCUGCUCAGUUCAGAUUCAGGGUGUGAAGCUGGACGAUGCGGGCCAGCAUCACUUCAGGUUUGAGACAAACCAACCGCUGGGGAGAUGGACCUCACCUGACACCAUUACUCUGGAUGUAGCAGCUCGACUCUCCUGUCUAAACAUCAAUGACUCUGGAAGCGGACAGCGAGGUUUCUGGUGCCUGGCUGGAGACGAGAUUCUGAUUCUUCAAGUGCCAAAACAAAAUAUCAGAAUAAAUAGUUAGAAGGCAGAUUUGUUUUCUCUUCAUAAUUGUUUUCAUUAUUGAUGGUCCACGACACAAAAUCCAUCAGUGCUGUAACUAUGAGUUUAAUAAAAUGUUCUUCUAUCAA